GACGAACGCUGGCGGCGUGCUUAACACAUGCAAGUCGAACGGAAAGGCCCUGCUUUUGUGGGGUGCUCGAGUGGCGAACGGGUGAGUAACACGUGAGUAACCUGCCCUUGACUUUGGGAUAACUUCAGGAAACUGGGGCUAAUACCGGAUAGGAGCUCCUGCUGCAUGGUGGGGGUUGGAAAGUUUCGGCGGUUGGGGAUGGACUCGCGGCUUAUCAGCUUGUUGGUGGGGUAGUGGCUUACCAAGGCUUUGACGGGUAGCCGGCCGGGGAGGGGGGCCGGCCACAAUGGGACUGCGGGAGGGCGCAGACGGCUACAGUAGGCAACAGUGGCAAACAUGCUACAACCAGCGCAAGCCGGAUGCGGCGACGCCGCGUGCGUGAUGACCGCCUUCGGGUAAUAAAACGCAGUCGCCUAUUACCAAGCUUGAGUGACGGUAAUGAGUAAAGAAGCACCGGCUAACUACGUG
This 468-nucleotide ribosomal RNA is filed under the name uncultured bacterium. RNAcentral describes it as "partial 16S ribosomal RNA". It matches the Rfam family "Bacterial small subunit ribosomal RNA", at positions 28 to 507 of the family's 1533-position model. The record is from RNAcentral.